Molecule: long non-coding RNA, 2672 nt
Organism: Gallus gallus (chicken)
Lineage: Eukaryota; Metazoa; Chordata; Aves; Galliformes; Phasianidae
Source: Ensembl
CAGCUGACCACUUGGUGUAGACAACAGGAAGGGUUUCAAAGUAUAUUUGUUUUAAAGUUGAUGUUCACUGCUUUGGAAAAGCCAAAAUAUUAGCAGUUAAAUUUUAUCAAGAAAUGCUUCUAUCUCUCCUCUGAUUUUGUAGACCAUUGUACAUGGAACUUCCAUACUCAACCAUAGGUCAGCUAAAAACAGAAACUGAAACAUACAGCUGGACAAGAUGACAUAACUGAUUCAAAAACUACAAGAUAUGUAAGAAGUGACUCCUGCAUCAAAUCUAUAACAUCUCUGUGAGCUACAGCUUAUCCCUGAGAAAAACAACCACUAUUGAUUUGAAGAGAUCGGGUAAUUGAAGAGCUAUCAUAUUCCAAGUUUUUCCACUACAUGAAAGACCUGUCUCUACAGAUAUCUUCCUUAGCUGUACGUGAGCAAUGCCUAAGACCAUGGACUGAAACCCCAAACUGCUACUCUUCCUGACAUUUAUUGCAGUUCCAGCUACUGGAUGGACCAGAGAAAGUGUAUGCAAAAUAAUCGCUUCUUCCCAUAAUGACAUGUAAAUCAGGACCAGUUCUAUCCUCCAGCCUAGAAGCCAUGAAAGGAGGUUGUGAACCUCAGAAAACAAGACCUCCUGGACUGCUUGUGGACUUGUGGCACCCCCUGCCUUGAUAGAGGAUUAUGUCAAGACAUAUGGGUACACACCCUUAAUUCAUGGCUUCCUUGGGGUCUCUACCACUUGUCUGAAGCAUGUUGUAGUCCCUUGACGGUCAUGAAGCACAAGAAUCUGGAGCAAGACACUGUUUGGAAGAACAAUCUGAAAGGUAAUAGCCAUAUUCAGCUCACAGAUGUUUUGCUUCCAUUCAGGAGUACACAGAAACUGUAUAGAAAACUAACUGUCUUUUAAACUCUUCUCCUGGUAAAGCACAGUCCAACGCCAAACCCAGGCAAUCUCUGAGUACUUCGUGUCCUGGGCCUUGGCCUUGGCCAAUGGCCACGCUGGGCAUUUAAUAGUAUGCACAUCCCCACACUAGUGCUCAGGCAUCUACCCUAGCCUUAUAUAAUUUUCUAAUAUAAACUAUAAACUACAGUAGUAUACCUGUAUGGAUACAACCACUGAAAUCAUGCAACUUCUCAAAUGUGAUGGUGGGUGCACAAAUGUUUGUGACAGAAAUUACAGAAAUUACAGGCUACACAAGCAGCUGGAAGAACUCCACAUACUGCUGGAGAGUUGAAUCUAAGCAAUUAAUUAUGUUUCAUUUCUAUGUUUGAUAGUGGUAAGGUCUGUUUCCAGGGAAAAAGAAAGUAUUUUUCUGAAUAUUUAAUGUUUUUAAUGCAUUCUUUCAGUUCUGUAAUUAAUUGUAUGUCCCUGUUUUUACUUAUGUGUAACUAAAAAAAAAUUAAAAAGAUGAAUUUCUGAAUAACCAUGCAGAAGCUGCUGGUUUGCUUUGAAAAAUAAAGGAGACUGAAAUAGCUUGAUUAGAUUUUAAAAAAUAAAUAAAUAAAUUAGCAGUGAAAAAAUCCAAACAGCAAAAAAUGGAGCUUUUCUGGCAACCUGAAUUUGCAAGAAAUUCUGAUUCUAAUGAGACAGAAAAGUUAGGAGAAGAAAGCACACCAAAAGAAAAAAAAAGACAGAGAGAGAGAGAGAGAGAGAGCCUUAAGAGCAUUCCACUAAGAAAUUUGAUUGUAACACCAGAACUGUCUCCUUCACAGACAAAAAUCUGUCUUCAAAACAUUUGCAGAAGUGUUGCAGAAAUAAAUCAGUUCUCACCGAAACAAGACUUCUGUAGUCAGUACCACAGUACCACCUUGUGGAGAAAUAUAAACAGCCUCGGUAUUGAUUUCUUCCACCAAGCAGUUAGUUUCAGGAAAUAACUAUAAUAUAAGCAUAAAAUUCUAACUAUGAUGAAUGAAACAGACCCAGGCACCAGCAACAUAUGUGAUGCAUGACUUCUCCCAGAGUUAAAUUACUUGUUUUGAAGAAGCCAUGUUCCAGUCAAAAUCUUUCAGAAGUCUAAUGUGAAAACUUCCUGGAAGAAAAAUGACUCCUUUUAUAUUUGCCUGGAUUCCUUUCUUGACUUCCAUGUGCUGCAAAUUUAUUUCUCCAGUUACACUGAAUCAAGAGAACAAUUGUCUCAGGCAUGUCAAAUUCUGCCCCCACAAAACGUUUCAUAAACGUAAAGGCUAUGACAUAAACAAACUAACACCAGACUCCUUGAGAUGACUUCUCUUAUUGCUUUUCUGUAACUGAUGAAGCGAUUAGGGACAGUAAUAUUCCAGAACACAUUUGAAGAAAUAAGGUUAUCAAAUUCUCUUGCCCAAAGGGAACUAUCACCUGCUUUUCUCCAUUUCUUUUACACUGUGAAAGAAAUUUGUAUGAUUAAGUAAUUGCUGGCAGUCAGGAGAAACAGUCACACAGUUGUCAUAUUUUAAGAGCUCUGUUAAAUGAAACUUUCACACUUUUAAAAAUAACUUUUUACACACAUCUCUGCAGCACUCUUUAACUCUUGCUCCUAAUGACAUUUUGGGAUAUUCUGUUUUGUGUACUGCCUGUCAGGCUAAAUUGGAACAAACAGUGCCAAAGUGUGUAUAGUAACCUUCAAUUUUAUGUUGUCCUGAGAAUGAGGGGAAUAUUUGUUUUUAUUUUUGCUGUCAAUAAACAAAAUUUCAACCUUGUUGCA